GAUGAACGCUGGCGGCGUGCCUAAUACAUGCAAGUCGAGCGAAUGGAUUAAGAGCUUGCUCUUAUGAAGUUAGCGGCGGACGGGUGAGUAACACGUGGGUAACCUGCCCAUAAGACUGGGAUAACUCCGGGAAACCGGGGCUAAUACCGGAUAACAUUUUGAACCGCAUGGUUCGAAAUUGAAAGGCGGCUUCGGCUGUCACUUAUGGAUGGACCCGCGUCGCAUUAGCUAGUUGGUGAGGUAACGGCUCACCAAGGCAACGAUGCGUAGCCGACCUGAGAGGGUGAUCGGCCACACUGGGACUGAGACACGGCCCAGACUCCUACGGGAGGCAGCAGUAGGGAAUCUUCCGCAAUGGACGAAAGUCUGACGGAGCAACGCCGCGUGAGUGAUGAAGGCUUUCGGGUCGUAAAACUCUGUUGGCAGGAAAGAAAUCGCCUGUGCUAAUACCACGGGCGGAUGACGGUACCUGCAGAAUAAGCACCGGCUAACUACGUGCCAGCCGCCGCGGUAA
RNAcentral lists this ribosomal RNA (514 nucleotides) under uncultured bacterium. Its description in RNAcentral is "partial 16S ribosomal RNA". It matches the Rfam family "Bacterial small subunit ribosomal RNA", at positions 28 to 523 of the family's 1533-position model. The record is from RNAcentral.